This 88-nucleotide non-coding RNA is filed under the name Toxocara canis (dog roundworm). RNAcentral describes it as "Eukaryotic large subunit ribosomal RNA". It matches the Rfam family "Eukaryotic large subunit ribosomal RNA", at positions 2675 to 2761 of the family's 3401-position model. Lineage: Eukaryota; Metazoa; Nematoda; Chromadorea; Rhabditida; Toxocaridae. The record is from Rfam by way of RNAcentral.
ACGGCAGAGACGGAAACCUCUCGUACAGCAAAAGGGCAAAAGCUCGCUUGAUCUUGAUUUCCAGUACGAAUAGAGACCGCGAAAGCGU